CACGUAGGGCGCAAGCGUUGUCCGGAAUUAUUGGGCGUAAAGAGCUCGUAGGCGGUCUGUUGCGUCCGCUGUGAAAACCCGAGGCUCAACCUCGGGCCUGCAGUGGGUACGGGCAAACUAGAGUGCGGUAGGGGAGAAUGGAAUUCCUGGUGUAGCGGUGAAAUGCGCAGAUAUCAGGAAGAACACCCGUGGCGAAGGCGGCUCUCUGGGACGGUACUGACGCUGAGACGCGAAAGCGUGGGGAGCGAACAGG
RNAcentral lists this ribosomal RNA (253 nucleotides) under uncultured bacterium. RNAcentral describes it as "partial 16S ribosomal RNA". It matches the Rfam family "Bacterial small subunit ribosomal RNA", at positions 524 to 776 of the family's 1533-position model. The record is from RNAcentral.